This 434-nucleotide ribosomal RNA is filed under the name uncultured bacterium. Its description in RNAcentral is "partial 16S ribosomal RNA". It matches the Rfam family "Bacterial small subunit ribosomal RNA", at positions 29 to 507 of the family's 1533-position model. The record is from RNAcentral.
AGCGAACGCUGGCGGCAGGCCUAACACAUGCAAGUCGAACGAACCUUUCGGGGUUAGUGGCGGACGGGUGAGUAACACGUGGGAACGUGCCUUUAGGUUCGGAAUAACUCAGGGAAACUUGUGCUAAUACCGAAUGUGCCAUUCGGGGGAAAGAUUAAUCGCCUUUAGAGCGGCCCGCGUCUGAUUAGCUAGUUGGUUGAGGUAAUGGCUCACCAAGGCGACGAUCAGUAGCUGGUCUGAGAGGAAGAUCAGCCACAUUGGGACUGGGACACGGCCCAGACUCCUGCGGGAGGCAGCAGUGGGGAAUCUUGCGAAAUGGGCGAAAGCCAGACGCAGCCAUGCCGCGUGAAUGAUGAAGGUCUGAGGAUAGUAAAAUUCUUUCACCGGGGACGAUAAUGACGGUACCCGGAGAAGAAGCCCCGGCUAACUUCGUG